Molecule: long non-coding RNA, 1179 nt
Organism: Panicum virgatum (switchgrass)
Lineage: Eukaryota; Viridiplantae; Streptophyta; Magnoliopsida; Poales; Poaceae
Exons: 5
Source: RefSeq, a predicted model, not a curated record
AACUCCCCCGCUACCCACCCUGUCGCUUCCCUCUCGCGGCCACCUCCUCCGCCGCCUCCCCUCCUCCUCUCCCCUGCGGCCCCCUGCGGCGGCGACGCGACGCGCUCGGCCAGCAGCGCGGCAGCGGCCCGGCGGCUCAACUCGCGCGGCCCGCGGGGCGGCACAGCGGCGGCGCGGCUGCCUAGAUCUAUAGCACGACUGCGGGGCAGCGGCGCGUCGGCCUGGAUCUGCGGCGGGAGCAGCGGCGGGCACGGGAGCAGCGGCGCGGGGCGAGGGGUCGCUCCGUCGGCGUGGAGCCGCGGCGGCGCACCCUUCCCCGCCGGCACCCUCCCCCGCUAAGGCGCUGAGCCACCUUCCCCUCCCUCGCCUCCUCACUCCUUGCUCCGGCGCGACGACGAGUCACCAGGCCUGCGCGAUGGCCGACGGCGCCAGCAGUGGCGGCGGUGCGCGAGACAGGGCGAGUAGGUGGUGAUUGACUACGGCCGGCGCCGCAUGAUCUGCAGCUACUGCCGAUCUUCCGGACCCACGGUUGCAACUGACAAGUGCAUUAUGGCAUUCUUGUUUCUGAUCAUUUGUGGUGUUAUUGCAAUAAUUGUUGUUAAGAGGUGAAAGGUUGGAGAGCCUAGUGGAGUGUGAAUCUAAUUGAUGCUUCACAGUUCAAUAAGCUUGUACAAUGGUCUGCUAAUGCUUCUAGCAGUUGACAUACCUGAAGGCUUGUGCUGAGUAACAUGUGGACUCUACCAAUGACUUCACUAACAAAGAGAAGGCUGCUGGUCACUUCACUUUGAAGGCUUAUGGAUCAAACUAUCAGGUGAUUCUCAAUAAGUAGUAUUCACCAACAUAGCACUCUCAGAUGUGAAUGCAAUAACUUUUUUCUGUUGAAGAGAGCACUUGAGCAUCAGUUGGAAAAGAUAUAUUUGAUAUUGAACUGAUUAUCUUUUGCUGCAUGCUGUCCACUUAAUUGAUAAGUCAUAUUGAAUUACAGAUUUGGUAUCUAUGUAACAGUACUACAAUGCAUCUGUUAGCUAUAUAGGACCAUUGUAGUAGAUUAGAGGAUGCACUAUGUAUGAGCACAGAUGUAUGAAUAGAUGUAUAUAUGUAUGUGUGAUCAUAGGAUGUACUAUGAUGUGUAUAUGACCUAUUUCUUUUUAUCAAUUUUUGUCCCCUAUUUUUUUUUAA